This 1420-nucleotide ribosomal RNA is filed under the name metagenome. Its description in RNAcentral is "bacterial LSU rRNA". It matches the Rfam family "Bacterial large subunit ribosomal RNA", at positions 1474 to 2925 of the family's 2925-position model. The record is from RNAcentral.
UCAGAAGGAGAGCACUACCUGGAAUGGAAUCCAGGGGCAAGCACAGGAGGGGUACGGCUGGAAAAACCGCCGUGCAACCCAAAGGUGUGACGCAUACCGAACUAAGGUAGGGAAAUGUGUGAGCCGGCUGCCGAGAAAAGCCGCUAUUGUUUGUACUGUACCCGUACCGUAAACCGACACAGGUGGAUGAGGAGAGAAUCCUAAGGCCGACGGAAGAAGCAUUGCUAAGGAACUCGGCAAAAUGACCCUGUAACUUCGGGAGAAAGGGUGCCUCGAAAGAGGCCGCAGAGAAUAGGCCCAAGCAACUGUUUAGCAAAAACACAGGUCUAUGCAAAACCGCAAGGUGAAGUAUAUGGGCUGACGCCUGCCCGGUGCUGGAAGGUUAAGGGGAGAUGUCAGGAGACGAAGCAUCGAACUUAAGCCCCAGUAAACGGCGGCCGUAACAAUAACGGUCCUAAGGUAGCGAAAUUCCUUGUCGGGUAAGUUCCGACCCGCACGAAAGGCGUAAUGAUUUGGGCGCUGUCUCGGCAAUGCAUCCGGUGAAAUUGAAGUGCCAGUGAAGAUGCUGGCUACCCGCGCCAGGACGGAAAGACCCCAUGGAGCUUUACUCCAGCUUGAUACUGGGAUUCGGUAUUGUAUGUACAGGAUAGGUGGGAGGCUGAGAAAUGGUGACGCCAGUCGCCAUGGAGCCGCUGUUGGGAUACCACCCUUGCAGUACUGGAUUUCUAACCAGCAGCCGUGAUCCGGCUGGGGGACAAUGUCAGGUGGGGAGUUUGACUGGGGCGGUCGCCUCCGAAAGGGUAUCGGAGGCGCUCAAAGGUUCCCUCAGAAUGGUCGGAAACCAUUCGAAGAGUGCAAAGGCAGAAGGGAGCUUGACUGCGACACCGACGGGUGGGGCAGGUACGAAAGUAGGACUUAGUGAUCCGGUGGUAUUAAGUGGGAAUGCCAUCGCUCAACGGAUAAAAGCUACCCUGGGAUAACAGGCUUAUCACUCCCAAGAGUUCACAUCGACGGAGUGGUUUGGCACCUCGAUGUCGGCUCAUCGCAUCCUGGGGCUGUAGUAGGUCCCAAGGGUUGGGCUGUUCGCCCAUUAAAGCGGUACGCGAGCUGGGUUCAGAACGUCGUGAGACAGUUCGGUCCCUAUCCGGCGUGGGCGUAGGAUAUUUGAGAGGAGCUGACCUUAGUACGAGAGGACCGGGUUGGACUGACCUCUGGUGCACCGGUUGUCAUGCCAAUGGCACAGCCGGGUAGCCAAGUCGGGAAGGGAUAAACGCUGAAGGCAUCUAAGCGUGAAGCCCCCCUCAAGAUGAGAUAUCCCCCGCAUAAGCGGUAAGACCCCUUGAAGACGACGAGGUAGAUAGGGCAGAGGUGGAAGUGCAGUAAUGUACGGAGCUGACUGCUACUAAUAGGUCGAAGGCUC